CGUGCCUAAGAAGUGCAGUCGAGCGAUGCCAUGGAGCUUGCUCCGGAAGCCUAGCGGCGAACGGUCGCGUAACACGUAAGCAACCUGCCCCAAAGUUUGGGAUAGCCCUCCGAAAGGGGGAUUACUACCGGAUGUGGAUGUUGAUAUGCAUGUAUUAACAUCUAAAGCAUUUAUGCGCUUUGGGAUGGGCUUGCGGCCUAUCAGCUAGUUGGUGAGGUAACGGCUCACCAAGGCGACGACGGGUAGCUGGUCUGAGAGGAUGGUCAGCCGGACUGGGACUGAGACACGGCCCAGACUCCUACGGGGGGCAGCAAUUAGGAAUCUUGCGCAAUGGGCGAAAGCCUGACGCAGCGACGUCGCGUGAACGAUGAAGUCUUUCGGGAUUGUAAAGUUCUUUUCUGAGGGAAGAAGGAUGUGACGGUACCUCAGGAAUAAGCCCCGGCUAACUACGUGCCAACAGCCGCGGUAAUACGUAAGGGGCCAACGUUGUCCAAAUUUACUGGGC
This 505-nucleotide ribosomal RNA is filed under the name uncultured organism. RNAcentral's name for it is "bacterial SSU rRNA". It matches the Rfam family "Bacterial small subunit ribosomal RNA", at positions 43 to 559 of the family's 1533-position model. The record is from RNAcentral.